UCCGGUUUGUCACCGGCAGUCUCCUAUGAGUCCCCAACUGAAUGCUGGCAACAUAGGAUAAGGGUUGCGCUCGUUGCGGGACUUAACCCAACAUCUCACGACACGAGCUGACGACAACCAUGCACCACCUGUGUACGAGUGUCCAAAGAGAACCCCAUCUCUGGGGCUUUCUCGUACAUGUCAAGCCUUGGUAAGGUUCUUCGCGUUGUAUCGAAUUAAUCCGCAUGCUCCGCCGCUUGUGCGGGCCCCCGUCAAUUCCUUUGAGUUUUAGCCUUGCGGCCGUACUCCCCAGGCGGGGCGCUUAAUGCGUUAGCGUCGGCACGGAGCCCGUCGAUAGAGCCCCACACCUAGUGCCCAACGUUUACGGCGUGGACUAC
Molecule: unclassified non-coding RNA, 377 nt
Filed under: uncultured Actinomycetes bacterium
Lineage: Bacteria; Bacillati; Actinomycetota; Actinomycetes
Description: uncultured actinobacterium contains 16S-23S intergenic spacer region
Source: RNAcentral